GAUGAACGCUGGCGGCGUGCCUAAUACAUGCAAGUCGAGCGAACAGACGAGGAGCUUGCUCCUCUGACGUUAGCGGCGGACGGGUGAGUAACACGUGGAUAACCUACCUAUAAGACUGGGAUAACUUCGGGAAACCGGAGCUAAUACCGGAUAAUAUAUUGAACCGCAUGGUGCAAUAGUGAAAGGCGGUUUUGCUGUCACUUAUAGAUGGAUCCGCGCCGCAUUAGCUAGUUGGUAGGGUAACGGCUUACCAAGGCAACGAUGCGUAGCCGACCUGAGAGGGUGAUCGGCCACCCUGGAACUGAGACACGGUCCAGACUCCUACGGGAGGCAGCAGUCGGGAAUCUUCCGCAAUGGGCGAAAGCCUGACGGAGCAACGCCGCGUGAAUGAUGAAGGUCUUCGGAUCGUAAAGCUCUGUUAUUAGGGAAGAACAAAUGUGUAAGUAACUAUGCACGUAUUGACGGUACCUGAUCAGAAAGCCCCGGCUAACUACGUG
Molecule: ribosomal RNA, 497 nt
Filed under: uncultured bacterium
Lineage: Bacteria
Description: partial 16S ribosomal RNA
Rfam family: Bacterial small subunit ribosomal RNA
Source: RNAcentral